CCCUUAGAUGUCCUGGGCCGCACGCGUGCUACACUGACACUUACACCGAGUUUUUCCAAUGCCGAAAGGCCAUUGGUAAUCAGCAAUAAGUGUCGUGAUGGGGAUAGAUCUUUGGAAUUAUUGAUCUUGAACGAGGAAUGCCUAGUAAUCGUAGGUCAUCAGCCUGCGAUGAUUACGUCCCUGCCCUUUGUACACACCGCCCGUCGCACCUACCGAUUGAAUGGUCCGGUGAAAUCUCGGGACGGCGGCUUGGUCGCUUGCGUCCGACUGCUGAAACUUGAUUAAACCAUAUCAUUUAGAGGAAGGUGAAGUCGUANCA
RNAcentral lists this ribosomal RNA (319 nucleotides) under uncultured eukaryote. RNAcentral describes it as "partial 18S ribosomal RNA". It matches the Rfam family "Eukaryotic small subunit ribosomal RNA", at positions 1470 to 1796 of the family's 1831-position model. The record is from RNAcentral.